UACGAAGGGGGGCUAGCGUUGCUCGGAAUCACUGGGCGUAAAGCGCACGUAGGCGGACUUUUUAAGUCAGGGGGUGAAAUCCUGGAGCUCAACUCCAGAACUGCCUUUGAUACUGGAAGUCUUGAGUUCGAGAGAGGUGAGUGGAACUGCGAGUGUAGAGGUGAAAUUCGUAGAUAUUCGCAAGAACACCAGUGGCGAAGGCGGCUCACUGGCUCGAUACUGACGCUGAGGUGCGAAAGCGUGGGGAGCAAACAGG
This 256-nucleotide ribosomal RNA is filed under the name uncultured bacterium. Its description in RNAcentral is "partial 16S ribosomal RNA". It matches the Rfam family "Bacterial small subunit ribosomal RNA", at positions 524 to 776 of the family's 1533-position model. The record is from RNAcentral.